UAGGGAAUAUUGGGCAAUGGAGGCAACUCUGACCCAGCCAUGCCGCGUGCAGGAAGAAGGCCUUCUGGGUUGUAAACUGCUUUUGGAAGGGAACAAAACGGGCAUGGGUGCCAACUUGAGUGUACCUUCAGAAUAAGCACCGGCUAACUCCGUGCCAGCAGCCGCGGUAAUACGGAGGGUGCAAGCGUUGUCCGGAUUUAUUGGGUUUAAAGGGUGCGUAGGCGGCCAUGUAAGUCAGGGGUGAAAGACGAUUGCUUAACAAUCGCAGUGCCUUUGAUACUGUGUGGCUUGAGUGUAGCUGAGGCAGAUGGAAUGGGUGGUGUAGCGGUGAAAUGCAUAGAUACCAUCCAGAACACCGAUUGCGAAGGCAGUCUGCUAAACUACAACUGACGCUGAGGCACGAAAGCGUGGGGAUCGAACAGG
This 423-nucleotide ribosomal RNA is filed under the name uncultured bacterium. RNAcentral's name for it is "bacterial SSU rRNA". It matches the Rfam family "Bacterial small subunit ribosomal RNA", at positions 355 to 776 of the family's 1533-position model. The record is from RNAcentral.